Molecule: RNase P RNA, 360 nt
Filed under: Chitinophagaceae bacterium
Lineage: Bacteria; Pseudomonadati; Bacteroidota; Chitinophagia; Chitinophagales; Chitinophagaceae
Description: RNase P RNA component class A
Rfam family: Bacterial RNase P class A
About the family: Ribonuclease P (RNase P) is a ubiquitous endoribonuclease, found in archaea, bacteria and eukarya as well as chloroplasts and mitochondria. Its best characterised activity is the generation of mature 5'-ends of tRNAs by cleaving the 5'-leader elements of precursor-tRNAs.
Source: RNAcentral
GCUACAAGCCAGGCUAUCGCUUCCCGCUCUUUGUGGGAGGAGGAAAGUCCGGACAGCACAGAGCAAUGCACCGGUGAAGAGCCGGGUCUCGCCUCAGGUGAGAACAGAUAGUGCCACAGAAAAUAACUGCCUCCGGGUAAGGGUGAAAACGUAGGGUAAGAGCCUACGGCUGUUGAUGGUAACAUCAAUAGCGGGUAAACCUUGCAUGCUGAAAUGCCACAUAUAGGAUCGUUUUGAGAACUGCUCGUUCAAGAUCCAGGGUAGGCAGAUUGAUCCCGGCAGGUAACUGCCGGGACAGAUAAAUGAUAGCCUCCCGAUAGCUAUCGGGAACAGAAUCCGGCUUACAGGCUUGUAGCUUUU